This 775-nucleotide long non-coding RNA is filed under the name Citrus sinensis (sweet orange). RNAcentral's name for it is "long non-coding RNA (CSIN_LNC003973)". The record is from RNAcentral. Lineage: Eukaryota; Viridiplantae; Streptophyta; Magnoliopsida; Sapindales; Rutaceae.
AGGGGUGGGCAAAACCGGGUUCGGGUCGGGUUCGGAUCAACCCGAUCGGAUUUCGGGUUGGUCGGGUUUAACAAAAAUUAAUCCGAAUACAACCCGAACUUCCCACCCGACCCGAUCCGAUCCGAUUUAUAUUCGGAUCGGGUCGGGUCGGGUUGUGAAUUCAGGUUGAAAUCGGGUAGGAUCGGGUUGGCCAAUUUCCUUGAUUUUGUUACAACCAUUUAAAAACACAUAAUUACAACAAUUAAAUACUAAAUAUUAAUUGUUUAAUUUAACCAUAUACACCAUCAAUUCAAAUCUUAAAAUAAAAAGCUUAAAAAAAGCGUGAAAACUCAAGAUUCAAAGUCAAAGGUGAGAAGCUCGGGUUGAAGGAUUGGAGCAGCAGAAGCACCUUGCAGCAGAUCCGCGGCACUUGCAGUAGAUCGGUGGCCGCGGCACUUGUAGUAGGAGACCGACGGACGCGUAGCAGCAGAUCGGCGGCACUUGCAGCAAAUCAGGCAUGGAGACGCGCGGCAAAUCGGCCAUGGAGAUGCAGGUGAGGCUGUGACUUGUGCGGCGGCCUCCGUUGGCGGCUUGGCGUUGGCCCAACGCCGUUGGGGGUGACUAUGUAUGUGUUUUGUGUAGUGAGAUUGGGGAUUGUGUAAUGAGAUUGGGGAUUGAGGAGAGUUGUGAGUGUUUGUGUAAAGUAACCGUGUAUUGUGAAAAUGGGAAUUGUGAUUUGUGUGUGCGGCGUGUGUGUGGCUGUUUGCUUUAGGUUUAGUUUUUUUUUUUUUUUUUU